This 1436-nucleotide ribosomal RNA is filed under the name uncultured bacterium. RNAcentral describes it as "bacterial SSU rRNA". It matches the Rfam family "Bacterial small subunit ribosomal RNA". The record is from RNAcentral.
AGAGUUUGAUCAUGGCUCAGAACGUACGCUGGCGGCACGCUUAACACAUGCAAGUCGAACGAAGUAGCAAUACUUAGUGGCGAACGGGUGAGUAUAAUGUGGGAAUCUGCCUUUUGGUUUGGAAUAACACGAGGAAACUUGUGCUAAUACCGGAUAAGCCCUUACGGGGAAAGUUUUAACGCCAAAAGAUGAGCCUGCACUUGAUUAGCUUGUUGGUAAGGUAAAAGCUUACCAAGGCUACGAUCAAUAGCUGAUCUGAGAGGAUGAUCAGCCACAUUGGGACUGAGACACGGCCCAAACUCCUACGGGAGGCAGCAGUGGGGAAUCUUGCACAAUGGGGGAAACCCUGAUGCAGCGAUGCCGCGUGAGUGAAGAAGGCCUUUGGGUUGUAAAGCUCUUUCGUCGGGGAAGAAAAUGACUGUACCCGAAUAAGAAGGUCCGGCUAACUUCGUGCCAGCAGCCGCGGUAAUACGAAGGGACCUAGCGUAGUUCGGAAUUACUGGGCUUAAAGAGCACGUAGGUGGUUAAGAAAGUUGGUGGUGAAAUCCCAAGGCUUAACCUUGGAACUGCCACCAAAACUUUUUAACUAGAGUAUGAUUGAGGUAAGCGGAAUUUCUAGUGUAGAGGUGAAAUUCGUAGAUAUUAGAAAGAACACCAAUUGCGAAGGCAGCUUUCUGGAUCAUUACUGACACUGAGGUGCGAAAGCAUGGGUAGCGAAGAGGAUUAGAUACCCUCGUAGUCCAUGCCGUAAACGAUGUGUGUUAGACGUUGGAAAUUUAUUUUCAGUGUCGCAGCAAAAGCGAUAAACACACCGCCUGGGGAGUACGACCGCAAGGUUAAAACUCAAAUGAAUUGACGGGGACCCGCACAAGCAGUGGAGCAUGUGGUUUAAUUCGAAGAUACGCGCAGAACCUUACCAACACUUGACAUGUUCGUCGCGACUCUAAGAGAUUAGAGUUUUCGGUUCGGCCGGACGAAACACAGGUGCUGCAUGGCUGUCGUCAGAUCGUGUCGUGAGAUGUUGGGUUAAGUCCCGCAACGAGCGCAACCCUUACUUUUAGUUGCUACCAUUAAGUUGGGCACUCUAAAAGAACUGCCGGUGAUAAGCUGGAGGAAGGUGGGGAUGACGUCAAGUCCUCAUGGCCCUUACGUGUUGGGCUACACACGUGCUACAAUGGCAUUUACAGUGAGAAGCAAAGAUGCGAGUCUAAGCCAAUCCCUAAAAAAUGCCUCAGUUCGGAUUGUACUCUGCAACUCGAGUACAUGAAGCUGGAAUUACUAGUAAUCGCGGAUCAGCGUGCCGCGGUGAAUGCGUUCCCGGGUCUUGUACACACCGCCCGUCACACCAUGGGAGUUGGUUCUACCUUAAGGCAAAGUUUUAAAACUUUGACCACGGUAUAGUCGGCGACUGGGGUGAAGUCGUAACAAGGUAGCCG